GACGAACGCUGGCGGCGUGCUUAACACAUGCAAGUCGAACGGAAAGGCCCUGCUCUUGUGGGGUGCUCGAGUGGCGAACGGGUGAGUAACACGUGAGAACCUGCCCUUGACUUUGGGAUAACUUCUGGAAACUGGGGCUAAUACCGGAUAGUAGCUUCUGCUGCAUGGUGGGGGUUUGAAAGUUUCGGCGGUUGGGGAUGGACUCGCGGCUUAUCACCUUGUUUGUGGGGGAGUGGCUUACCAAGGCUUUGACGGGUAGCCGGCCUGAGAGGGUGGCCGGCCACAUUGGGACUGAGAUACGGCCCAGACUCCAACGGGAGGCAGCAGUGGGGAAUAUUGCACAAUGGGCGGAAGCCUGAUGCAGCAACGCCGCGUGCGGGAUGACGGCCUUCGGGUUGUAAACCGCUUUCGCCUGUGACGAAGCGUGAGUGACGGUAAUGGGUAAAGAAGCACCGGCUAACUACGUG
Molecule: ribosomal RNA, 467 nt
Filed under: uncultured bacterium
Lineage: Bacteria
Description: partial 16S ribosomal RNA
Rfam family: Bacterial small subunit ribosomal RNA
Source: RNAcentral